Molecule: non-coding RNA, 29 nt
Filed under: Rattus norvegicus (Norway rat)
Lineage: Eukaryota; Metazoa; Chordata; Mammalia; Rodentia; Muridae
Source: RNAcentral
UUCAAUGACUGUGUUUGUGCUGUGACUCU